Long non-coding RNA from Trifolium pratense (red clover), 201 nucleotides. RefSeq lists it as uncharacterized. NCBI's taxonomy places the organism in Eukaryota, Viridiplantae, Streptophyta, Magnoliopsida, Fabales, Fabaceae. The transcript is spliced from 3 exons. The record is from RefSeq and is a predicted model, not a curated record.
GCCGUUGCUUCUGCUCGAUUAGUUUCAAGCUUGUCUAUUCAAUCUCUUGGUUGGUGUUUAGUUCCUCAAGUUUAGAAGUUUGGGUUGAUAGUUCGUUGGUUGUUCGUGUUCUGUUCGAAGUUAGAAGGUUCAAUCACGGUCUCAUCUACAGGUAUGGACCGUAGUUGGAUGAGAGCUAAUCGAUUAAGUACUGAGUACAGA